UACGUAGGGCGCGAGCGUUGUCCGGAAUUAUUGGGCGUAAAGAGCUCGUAGGCGGCCGGUUGCGUCUGCUGUGAAAUCCCGGGGCUUAACCCCGGGCGUGCAGUGGAUACGGGCCGGCUGGAGGCAGGCAGGGGAGAAUGGAAUUCCCGGUGUAGCGGUGAAAUGCGCAGAUAUCGGGAGGAACACCGGUGGCGAAGGCGGUUCUCUGGGCCUGUACUGACGCUGAGGAGCGAAAGCGUGGGAAGCGAACAGG
RNAcentral lists this ribosomal RNA (253 nucleotides) under uncultured bacterium. RNAcentral's name for it is "partial 16S ribosomal RNA". It matches the Rfam family "Bacterial small subunit ribosomal RNA", at positions 524 to 776 of the family's 1533-position model. The record is from RNAcentral.